Long non-coding RNA from Rhinolophus ferrumequinum (greater horseshoe bat), 866 nucleotides. RefSeq lists it as uncharacterized. NCBI's taxonomy places the organism in Eukaryota, Metazoa, Chordata, Mammalia, Chiroptera, Rhinolophidae. The record is from RefSeq and is a predicted model, not a curated record. The transcript has 4 exons.
UGAGGGAAGGGAGGGGCGGAAGUCGGCCGGGGUCUGCAAGCCUGUGGCCGGGCGCGGUGGACGUGCCGGGAUGCUCAGCUUGGCCCCCACUCUCAGUGCAGGCGACGCAGUUGCCUUCUCCUCAGCUAGAGAGGGGGGACGCUCCUUUCUCGCUCCCCCAUCCUCUCCCCCGGCGCCCCUCCCGGUAGGCGCCAGAGUCCGGAGGCCCGGAGGCCCGGACGCCUAGGCUAGAUGGCGGUGAGGCGGGCUCUGGGGCCUCCCCAGGCCAGGCCGAAUUUAUUCUGCGCAGGCCCCAGCUAGGGGAAGAGGGACCCCAAAUCAGACAGACGCUUUCCUUCCCCCCACUCACGCCUUACUUAGUCCCUGCCCAAAUUGCGCGUCUCCGGUAGGACUGACUAUCUGCCCGGCCUCUCUCUGCUGCCAACCUUGCCCGAAACCUAGACCCCAGACCUGCUCCCAUCAUACGCCAUGACAGUUCCAGAGGAACCAAAUAAGGAAGAGAAAGCAGAAAACUGAGGAUCCCACCUACUGGGAAGAAACUGAUGAGUCACAUCAAUGGGACGUCACCAAUUCCUGGCCCCUGGAGGAACAUUAUAUUGCUGUACAAUGUGUCUUUUGAUGGAAGAGGACCAGAUGUCUAGCCUAGAAUAGAUAGGGGUUAAAGAGUCUGGUUUCUGGAUCCAAGUCCCUGAAUUCAAAUCCUGGCUCUAUCACUUACUAGGUAUGUCUCAAUUUAUUUCACUCUAAUUUUGGAAUAAUAGCACAUAUUCAAUGGGUUAUCGUAAAGAAUAAUUGAGAUAAUCCUUGCUUAGGAUAUAGAACUUAGUAUAUUUGAGUUAUUAGCACUACUCCAAUUUCUUUUAAUA